This is a long non-coding RNA of Cuculus canorus (common cuckoo), 708 nucleotides long. RefSeq lists it as uncharacterized. The record is from RefSeq and is a predicted model, not a curated record. NCBI's taxonomy places the organism in Eukaryota, Metazoa, Chordata, Aves, Cuculiformes, Cuculidae. The transcript has 4 exons.
GGGCCUUUUCAAGGAGUCCCCUGUGUCAUCCUUCUCCACCAGCAGCCAUCCCAUCAAGUCAUGGGCUGCCUCUUUCCACCUGUGUUUGGUUCCAGAAGAGAGCCAGCUGCCUCAGUACCUUUUUCUCACCGAGCAGGACCCAUCAAGGCCAACCACAACUAAUUCUGCAAGAAGUAUUUCCAAGAGAGUCAGGAUAACGCUUUGCAACUUGGAAUCAAGCAGAUCCAGCAGAGCAGAGAUAACAGAAUCUCAAGACUGAAGACGCAGUAUAAAGCAGGUGCGUGUUUGCUCAAGGGAGCUAAAGUUACACCCAGAAGGGGUUGAAGCACUAACUGAAACGUAAUCGUCAUUCAGAGCACGUAGUAAGGUGUGUGGGGAAUCGGCAGGCAUGCUGGUGAGUGAGUGAGAGGUGAGAGGGCUUUCUCUGGGGGCUCAUCAAGGCGGCACAGCACUGGCUGCUGUAAUAACAACUCUCUUGCUGGCAGGAGAGAGCAGCUUAAAAUGCUUGUGGGACUGCACAUUUGAACGGGACUGCACACAUGUGAGAAAGAAGAGCUAUGGUGUUGAAACAAGAAAGUUUGCUUGUGUGCCUUGUGGCACCUUCUGUGUUCUGUUCUGCCCUGAUUUUCCUAUUAAAUUCUCACAAUACAAUUUAUGCAUAUUUUGUCUGCUGCUCUUAACAGCUGUUUUUGUUGUUUGUUUUUCAAU